RNAcentral lists this ribosomal RNA (253 nucleotides) under uncultured bacterium. RNAcentral describes it as "partial 16S ribosomal RNA". It matches the Rfam family "Bacterial small subunit ribosomal RNA", at positions 524 to 776 of the family's 1533-position model. The record is from RNAcentral.
UACGUAGGCAGCAAGCGUUGUUCGGAGUUACUGGGCGUAAAGAGUGCGUAGGCGGUUUUCUAAGUUUGGUGUGAAAUCUCCCGGCUCAACUGGGAGGGUGCGUCGAAGACUGGGAAGCUUGAGUGUGGGAGAGGUAAGCGGAAUUCCUGGUGUAGCGGUGAAAUGCGUAGAUAUCAGGAGGAACACCGGUGGUGUAGACGGCUUACUGGACCACUACUGACGCUGAGGCACGAAAGCGUGGGGAGCAAACAGG